GACAGAGGCCUCAAGCGUUAGGCGGAAUCACUGGGCUUAAAGCGUGUGUAGGCGGGUCGUUAAGUACCUUGUGAAAUCCCACGGCUCACCCGUGGAACUGCUGGGUAUACUGGCGAUCUUGGGCCAUUCAGGGGCAACUGGAACAAGCGGUGGAGCGGUGAAAUGCGUAGAUAUCGGGAGGAACACCAGUGGCGAAGGCGGCUUCCUGGCCUGUUCUUGACGCUGAGGCGCGAAAGCUAGGGUAGCAAACGGG
Molecule: ribosomal RNA, 253 nt
Filed under: uncultured bacterium
Lineage: Bacteria
Description: partial 16S ribosomal RNA
Rfam family: Bacterial small subunit ribosomal RNA
Source: RNAcentral